GAAAUCAUGAAGCUGAAAUCAGGAGGAUGUGCUUAGAUGACUUUGCAUUCCAUGAAGUCUGGGAGCAAAGAAGUUUUGUCUAUGGAGGUUGAGCAAGGGGGUCUGAGGGAACCACAUGCUGUGAGCUGAGACGUGGACACACGACAGGGCAGAUGAAAUCUCUUGGCUAAAGAUCAUGAAGAGGAUUUUUAGGAAGAUGUCAUUGGAAGGUAGCCUUAACCUGUUGGUGGUAGGAUGAGGUGCUAGAAUGGAAGGUGAGGACUGAGGAGCUGGAAGGAGAGACGGCUGAUGCUGAGUGCUCAGAGGUGGCUUCUGGAAGAAACAGACUUGAGCUGAGAUGAUUCAAACAGGUAGGAGUGAAGGCAUUCCAGGCUGGGAGCAGGGCAUGAGCAAAG
Molecule: long non-coding RNA, 395 nt
Organism: Sapajus apella (tufted capuchin)
Lineage: Eukaryota; Metazoa; Chordata; Mammalia; Primates; Cebidae
Exons: 3
Source: RefSeq, a predicted model, not a curated record